Molecule: long non-coding RNA, 1758 nt
Organism: Lynx canadensis (Canada lynx)
Lineage: Eukaryota; Metazoa; Chordata; Mammalia; Carnivora; Felidae
Exons: 2
Source: RefSeq, a predicted model, not a curated record
AAAAAAAAUUAAAAAAAAAUAAAUAAAAUCUUAAAAAAAAAAAAAGAAAAAGAAAAAGAAAUGUGUGUCCCACCCAGACCUACUCAGUCAACAACCUCAGUUUAAGAAGAUCCCCACGUGAUUUGUGUGCCUGUGAAAGUUUGAGAAACACCGGUUGAAGCUGCAUUUAUUGGCUGAACCUAAUUCCGACCAGUCAUAGCCGUGAUGGCCUUCCUGUUGCUGGCACCUUGAACUCCGCGUUUGCAGAAUGGGGAAGCCAUGGCUUCUGGGGAAGACAUCCAUGACCAAUGGAGAGCCGUUCUCCAAAAUGUUCUCAUCCCCGUCUUCCUGUGAAGAGCUCUGUGUCAAGAAUGGACCCACCAAAAAUAUUGGGAAGGGGGCGCCUGGGUGGCUUGUCGGGCCGUCCUGGAGAAACCAGAGGAGGGGCCCUCCAUGCAGUCUGGCAAGGAGCCCAGGGAAGGUGAUGGUUCACAGAGAGGCUGAGGAUAAGCAGGACUUUGCCAGGCGGAGAUAAGGUAGAGCAUUCUGGGUCCAGAGGACGGGUUACUGGCCAAGGCACCAAAGAACUGCGCUGUGGAGCGGGAAGAAUUCAUCCCUGGCUGGAAGGAGAGCAGAAAAUGCUAGAGAAGAAGGUGGGGCCACAUCUGGAAACUUCCAGACACGCAGGUCCAGCCUGUAGCCGUCUGGCCACCUCCACCCCGCACUGGUGCUUGUUUGGAACCACCCCGAUGGUCCGAGCUGCUCUGUCCUGUGUGUUUUCUUAGAUCGAAAGCUCCAGAGGGCACAACCUUGCUGACCCUCCAUGGUCUGGUCCUCAGCUGCAGCACAGAACCUUUACACAGGAGACUCCAUGAAGUUCUGUCAACCAAAUCAGUGACUCUCCCUCUUGGUGGUGGCAAGUUCCUCCCCGUGCCUGCAAUGGCCUGCUGACUCGAGUAGCCCUGAGUCUUAGCAUUCUUUGGGACUCCGCAGUCUCUUAUAUGAAGCUUCCCGAGACAGCUACAGGCUGUCUCUGACCUCCUGCACUACACCCACUCCGAUCCUGGGCUUGGCCUAGGCUGGCCUGGAGCCCCUCCUUGUGUGCGUCCCGCAGGGAGUGGAGGGCUGGAUCUGGGAAUGAGGCAGAGCUGGGGAAAAGCCUGUCUGGGUACUCCCCUGCACCCCACCCCGCACAGAUCUUAGAGACAGAAGUGAUAGAAGCUGCUGAGGACCACGUCUGACUUGCCCGGCAGAUCAACAGGCCGACUGACGUCACUGGGUUUAAAUGCGGGACGCCUUGUUUCCAUCCUCAGCCACUGACUACAGGUGGCUGUGGCCACAGUGCUGGCAGUGACGUCCGGGGCAUUGGGCCACGCGGCCUCCGCAAACACCAGCAGGAGCCUGCAGAUUCCUCCCAACCCGCCAACCUCUGACCCGGGCCUGUGCUUCCUGGGGAAGGUGGUUCGUUCUGUUUUCCAAACCCAUCUCUGAGGGACCGAUAGCCGGCAAGGAGGACCAGAGCCCUGACUUAACUAACCGACCCCGAAAACAGCAGCCUUGCACGGCUAAUUUGCUUGUCUGUGAUGGACAGGCACGUUCAGGCUGCGAGCGCCUGGUGGUCUCAGGACAGGGCUUCACCAUCUGGUCGCUGUCACCGGGGAGGGGGAGAGCUGUCAUUGGGCUGUGAGUCAGCAUCGCUCAUUUCCUCUCAGCACUGACUGCAGGACCCGGAUCACAGGCAGUGGUGCGGUGGGGUGGGGAGCCGGGACCCUGGUACUC